Molecule: non-coding RNA, 277 nt
Organism: Erinaceus europaeus (western European hedgehog)
Lineage: Eukaryota; Metazoa; Chordata; Mammalia; Eulipotyphla; Erinaceidae
Source: Rfam
GGAUAUGAGGGCCAUCUGGCUGUGACAUCUGUCACCCCAUUGAUCGCCAGGGUUAAUUCGGCUGAUCUGGCUGGCUAGGCAGGUGUCACCUUCCUCCCUCACCUCUCCAUGUGUGUCCCUCCCAAAGCUGCGUGCUCUGGGUCAAAGGAUGGCCUUCUCCCAAUAGAGAAGAUGGACAGGUCUUCAGUCGAGGGUAUAAGAGUACCUGCACUCCCCUGCUAGAACCUCCAAACAAGCUCUCAAGACAGCUGAGCAGUACUGUUCUUCCUCUCUCUCU